Molecule: ribosomal RNA, 481 nt
Filed under: uncultured bacterium
Lineage: Bacteria
Description: partial 16S ribosomal RNA
Rfam family: Bacterial small subunit ribosomal RNA
Source: RNAcentral
GAUGAACGCUGGCGGCGUGCUUAACACAUGCAAGUCGAACGAAGCACUUUAUUUUAUUUCCUUCGGGACUGAUUAUUUUGUGACUGAGUGGCGGACGGGUGAGUAACGCGUGGGUAACCUGCCUUGUACAGGGGGAUAACAGUUGGAAACGGCUGCUAAUACCGCAUAAGCGCACGGCAUCGCAUGAUGCAGUGUGAAAAACUCCGGUGGUAUAAGAUGGACCCGCGUUGGAUUAGCUAGUUGGUGAGGUAACGGCCCACCAAGGCGACGAUCCAUAGCCGAUGGUUGAGGGUGACUGGUCACGUUGGGACUGAGACACGGCGUAAACUCCUACGGGAGGCAGCAGUUGGGAAUAAUGCACAAGGGGCGAAAGGCUGAUGAAGCGACGCCGAGUGAACGAAGAAGUAUUUCGGUAUGUAAAGCUAUAUCAGCAGGGAAGAUAAUGACGGUACCUGACUAAGAAGCACAGGCUAAACACGUG